AGCGAACGCUGGCGGCAGGCUUAACACAUGCAAGUCGAGCGGGCCCUUCGGGGUCAGCGGCGGACAGGUGAGUAACGCGUGGGAACGUGCCUUCUGGUUCGGAAUAACUCAGGGAAACUUGAGCUAAUACCGGAUACGCCCUUUUGGGGAAAGGUUUACUGCCGGAAGAUCGGCCCGCGUCUGAUUAGCUAGUUGGUGGGGUAACGGCCUACCAAGGCGACGAUCAGUAGCUGGUCUGAGAGGAUGAUCAGCCACACUGGGACUGAGACACGGCCCAGACUCCUACGGAAGGCAGCAGUGGGGAAUAUUGGACAAUGGGCGCAAGCCUGAUCCAGCCAUGCCGCGUGAGUGAUGAAGGCCUUAGGGUUGUAAAGCUCUUUUAUCCGGGACGAUAAUGACGGUACCGGAGGAAUAAGCCCCGGCUAACUUCGUG
RNAcentral lists this ribosomal RNA (433 nucleotides) under uncultured bacterium. Its description in RNAcentral is "partial 16S ribosomal RNA". It matches the Rfam family "Bacterial small subunit ribosomal RNA", at positions 29 to 507 of the family's 1533-position model. The record is from RNAcentral.